AGCAUCCGUAGCCGGCUGCUCAAGUUUCCGGUUAAAUCCACACGCUUAACGUAUGGGCUGCCGGAAAUACUGUUCAGCUAGGGAGUGGGAGAGGUAGACGGUACUCGAUAGGAAGGGGUAAAAUCCUUUGAUCUAUUGAUGACCACCUGUGGCGAAGGCGGUCUACCAGAACACGUUCGACGGUGAGGGGUGAAAGCUGGGGGAGCAAACCGGAUUAGAUACCCGGGUAGUCCCAGCUGUAAACGAUGCAGACUCGGUGAUGCAUUGGCUUAUGGCCAGUGCAGUGCCGCAGGGAAGCCGUUAAGUUUGCCGCCUGGGAAGUACGUACGCAAGUAUGAAACUUAAAGGAAUUGGCGGGGGAGCACAAGCCG
RNAcentral lists this ribosomal RNA (371 nucleotides) under uncultured Nitrososphaerota archaeon. RNAcentral describes it as "bacterial SSU rRNA". It matches the Rfam family "Archaeal small subunit ribosomal RNA", at positions 514 to 888 of the family's 1478-position model. The record is from RNAcentral. Lineage: Archaea; Thermoproteati; Nitrososphaerota.